CAAAGGCUUGGUCCUGACUUUACUAUCAACUUUAGACGAAAUUACACAUGCAAGUAUCCGCACUCCUGUGAGAAUGCCCUACAGUUCCCUGUCCGGGAACAAGGAGCAGGUAUCAGGCACACUCAUCAAGCCCAUAACACCUUGUUCAGCCACACCCUCAAGGGAGCUCAGCAGUGAUAAACAUUAAGCCAUAAGUGAAAACUUGACUUAGUUAAAGCUAAAAGGGCCGGUAAAACUCGUGCCAGCCACCGCGGUUAUACGAGAGGCCCAAGUUGAAAGACACCGGCGUAAAGCGUGGUUAAGCUAAAAUUUAAAUUAAAGUUAAACAUCUUCAAGACUGUUAUACGUAUCCGAAGACAGGAACCUCAAUUACGAAAGUAACUUUAUAUAAGCUGAAUCCACGAAAGCUAUAGCACAAACUGGGAUUAGAUACCCCACUAUG
This 442-nucleotide ribosomal RNA is filed under the name Liparis liparis (striped seasnail). Its description in RNAcentral is "partial small subunit ribosomal RNA". It matches the Rfam family "Bacterial small subunit ribosomal RNA", at positions 7 to 794 of the family's 1533-position model. The record is from RNAcentral. Lineage: Eukaryota; Metazoa; Chordata; Actinopteri; Perciformes; Liparidae.